This 501-nucleotide ribosomal RNA is filed under the name uncultured bacterium. RNAcentral describes it as "bacterial SSU rRNA". It matches the Rfam family "Bacterial small subunit ribosomal RNA", at positions 28 to 517 of the family's 1533-position model. The record is from RNAcentral.
GAUGAACGCUAGCUACAGGCUUAACACAUGCAAGUCGAGGGGGAACGAUAGAGAAAGCUUGCUUUUUCUAGGCGUCGACCGGCGCACGGGUGAGUAACGCGUAUCCAACCUGCCCAUCACUUGGGGAUAACCUUGCGAAAGUAAGACUAAUACCCAAUGACGUCUCUAGAAGACAUCUGAAGGAGAUUAAAGAUUUAUCGGUGAUGGAUGGGGAUGCGUCUGAUUAGCUUGUUGGCGGGGUAACGGCCCACCAAGGCGACGAUCAGUAGGGGUUCUGAGAGGAAGGCCCCCCCACAUUGGAACUGAGACACGGUCCAAACUCCUACGGGAGCAGCAGUGAGGAAUAUUGGUCAAUGGACGAGAGUCUGAACCAGCCAAGUAGCGUGCAGGAUGACGGCCCUAUGGGUUGUAAACUGCUUUUAUAAGGGAUAAAGUGAGUCUCGUGAGACUUUUUGCAUGUACCUUAUGAAUAAGGACCGGNUAAUUCCGUGCCAGCAGCCG